RNAcentral lists this ribosomal RNA (459 nucleotides) under Streptococcus sp. oral taxon 074. RNAcentral's name for it is "bacterial SSU rRNA". It matches the Rfam family "Bacterial small subunit ribosomal RNA", at positions 28 to 471 of the family's 1533-position model. Lineage: Bacteria; Bacillati; Bacillota; Bacilli; Lactobacillales; Streptococcaceae. The record is from RNAcentral.
GAUGAACGCUGGCGGCGUGCCUAAUACAUGCAAGUAGAACGCUGAAGCUUGGUGCUUGCACCGAGCGGAUGAGUUGCGAACGGGUGAGUAACGCGUAGGUAACCUGCCUGGUAGCGGGGGAUAACUAUUGGAAACGAUAGCUAAUACCGCAUGACAACAGUUAUUGCAUGAUAACUGUUUAAAAGGGGCAAUUGCUCCACUACCAGAUGGACCUGCGUUGUAUUAGCUAGUUGGUGAGGUAACGGCUCACCAAGGCGACGAUACAUAGCCGACCUGAGAGGGUGAUCGGCCACACUGGGACUGAGACACGGCCCAGACUCCUACGGGAGGCAGCAGUAGGGAAUCUUCGGCAAUGGACGGAAGUCUGACCGAGCAACGCCGCGUGAGUGAAGAAGGUUUUCGGAUCGUAAAGCUCUGUUGUAAGAGAAGAACGAGUGUGAGAGUGGAAAGUUCACACUG